This 72-nucleotide transfer RNA is filed under the name Dipodomys ordii (Ord's kangaroo rat). It matches the Rfam family "tRNA". Rfam says of the family: Transfer RNA (tRNA) molecules are approximately 80 nucleotides in length. Their secondary structure includes four short double-helical elements and three loops (D, anti-codon, and T loops). The record is from Rfam by way of RNAcentral. Lineage: Eukaryota; Metazoa; Chordata; Mammalia; Rodentia; Heteromyidae.
GGGGGUGUGGCUUGGUGAUAGAGUACCUGCCUGGCAGGCAAGAGGCACUGAGUUCAAACCUCAGUACUGCUC